GUGGGAGGGAGUCUUUAGUGUGGUUUUGGUAGGAAGGAAAGUGGUUUUCUUAGGAAGGGAAGGGCGAAGCACUGUCAGCAGCUGAGCUGGCCCAGAAUUGCAGUCUGAAGAAUGUCAGUGGGUUUAGGAUAUGGGCGUGGUUUCUAAUUGUCUGGUAUUGCCCUGGGGUGGUUUAGGGCAGCGGAAGAUUGGCUUGGGUGGGAGAGCUCCUUAAAGGUGGUGGUGGGUGUGAGCUCUAGAUCAGGUAGUUUGCAUAUGAAAAGUGUAUUUGCAGGCAAGGUGUAUACUGUCACUAGGAAUUAGCUAGUCCUGGGAGGGGCAGUCCCUCCCCAUAUCUGCAAGUCCCCCAAGAUGUCAACACAUCUUAAAAUACAGAAAAAUUUUUAAAACAGACAUCAUUAAUACACACACAUACACAGAAAGACAUGCACGCACAGCUUCACAGGCCGUUUCAUGACACGCAAGGAAAGCGACCAUUCUGAAGUGAAUGGUGGGGGAGGAAUAGGAUUUCUGGCCUGCAGUGUGUUUUAAACCCUUUCACAGAGAGUAUAUUGUUUGCCUCUCUUCUUUUCCUGUGUGGGAAACCCUGAUUUAGUGCUACCUGGUGGAAAUAGGGCUGGAGAGAGGAAAAGUCCCGUGAAGAACUAGUGGAAGAACUAGGGGUAGAACUCCUUUCCCCUGGCUGUGGGUCCUGGGUUGCCUUUCCCUCUCACAUCGAGCUCUCUACACUCAAACCUGCCACGCACCCCACAGCUGGCUGCCCCAGCUCUUCAGCACUUUGUCUCGUGCUCUCUUCUGCCCCUCCCCUACUUACAUGCACAGACUCAACACAUGGGGUCAGGCAGCUGUUCAUUUGCAGUGUGCAUGAUACUACCUGGCAGUGUGAUAAACAAGAAGGCACCAAGCCCAUGCAGAGAGAGGUGGUGAGUGCCUGUAACCCCAAGAUGCAGGCAGUGUCCAAAAAUCACAGCCUGAAGUCGUGCUGCUCCUCACAGUCAAAUACCAAGUCCUGCAAACCCCUAGCUGUUCCUGAAGCUUGCAUGAGGAAGGGCCAAGCUCAAGAUUGCAGCAGCCCACUGCCCAUGGCUGGCACUUGGCGCAUGUGUUCCUGACAUCAUCCUCUCCUCCCGACUCUAGCGCCUCUUCUCAGUGCUUGUCAGUUUAGAAUCAUUGUUAUCUUGCAAAUACAUCACUCCAGAGGGGUUAAAACUACUAUAUAUAAAGCGACAUGAUAUCGUGUCGAUUGCGUUCUUGGCAGAGCUCCAGCACUGGAGACGUCAGGCUGUUUGCUAAGCACUGAUGGUGCUGCCUGAGGCUGGGGACUUGGCAUUCUGUCUCCUCAGAGCAUGCCAAGAGCGAGCGAAUGAAAGCUGCAGCUGAGUGAAGUUAGGGUCACCAGGAGGCCUUUAGGACCCAAAAUUGCAGACGCCCUGAAGCCAACGGGAAGGGCAGAGCCCAGGAGCACAGGCGGUAGCCGUGCCCUAAUGUAUGGGGACUUUCCCAGGGCACAGGUCCACUGCACGCUUGGGAUGAUUCGGGUGGCAGAGAGGUGGACAAAGUGGCUCUAAACCUCCUCUCAAGGCCUCGGUUUCCAAACCUUUACUGCCCAUAGGAUAAAUUAAGCCUUCUAUCCAGGUCAGAACCCUAGACACCCAUCCCGCUUUCUUCCACCUUGCUCUUCUCACAGUUUGCCCCCAAGCUCCUCUAAGCAGUCCCCUUUGAGCGACUGCAUCUGUGCUGGUCGCCUCCCCCGACCCUCAGCAAUUGCUGUGUGCCUUGUGCCAUUUGCCCAUGAGAACUCCUGAAGAGCCAAGAGCAGGUCUCCUGGGUCCGUUCAAAUGGGCUCCACGCUAGCAGUGGAGGCCAGAGGGAGGCAGCAGAAGAGCUGAUGCACAGGGUCCUCCCCUUUGGUGUGACUUGCUCGUUCUGUCCCCACCGAUUGCCUGAAGCUAGAAGGAAGCAGAGUUGGCCACUGCCCUCCCGCAAGAGAGGAAACUGCCUGGCGGUGCUCUCAGCCCUUGGCACGUGUCCACUCAUUAAUCCACAUAAUAACUCGAUAAGUUCGAUGCUAUUAUUAGCUCCAUUUUACAGUUGCUGAAAUUGAGGCACCAGAAUCUAAGCAGCUUGCUCAAGGGCAUAGGGUUUGUAAUGGCAGAACUGGGCAGGGUCUCAGCCCCGGCCGGGCUUUCUUACCUUUACCACCCGACGGUAAGCUAGGACAGGAGGGCCACACCGUCAUUGGUGCGUGGGCCCUUCCGAUGGAAGGACAGAAUUUGGAGAGAAGGGAUGCAUGGAAAACAAGAAUCCCAAUGGCCCUGAUUUCUCCUCUUGCUAGGACUGCUAGAUCUACAUGUAUCUUGGCAACUAUGGGCAAAACCCACAAGAAUAAAAUGUGGUUAAAUAGGAAGUUCUGCACCAAGAUCCAGAGAAUGCCUUACAUAAGGCCAGGAGCGAAGAGGCCCCGCUUGACUGUAGGGCUUGAGAACUCGGGGAGCUGCCUCAGGCUCCUGCAGGCCCCCAGUGUGCUCUGGCUGCUGCAGCAGUGGUGCGGCCCUGGGGCUUUGCGGCCUCCACAGCACAGUGGGGCAGUGCCACGUGCUCCGCCAGCCCGGCUCUUCUAGCCCAGCCCUGCGCAAGGCAGUGUGGCCAGCUCCCUCCUGAUGAGUAGGGCUAGCGAGGGGAGGGUCAGGACGCCUUUUCGUAGGAAAAUCAGCACAUUUAGGAACUGAGGAUGCCAUCUUGGAAUAUGGACAACCGCACUCAAAUAGCUAGAGGGCUGCAAAGGUGGGAAGGGAGAGGUCACUUCUGUGUCAUCAGAACCAGGACCCUCACAGAGAGGAUCCCAGGGCUGCAGUUUUCAGCCUUAGAGCUAACAGGUCAGGCAGGGCAGGGGUCUGAGCAGCCCCUGCAGCGGGGGAGGGGAAGGUGCCCCGGCAGGGUGGGUGGCGUCCUGCUCUGAAUCUAGGGCCGUAGCCAGCGCUCUCCUCCCGCAUCGCCUGUCUCCCAACUCGGCAGAUGAGGGCAGUGACCCCCGACGCGAAGCGCCGCCCGGCGCCGACCCCAGGGAGUACUGCAUGUCCGACCGCGACAUCGUGGAGGUGGUGCGCACCGAGUACGUGUACACGCGGCCCCCGCCAUGGUCCGACACGCUGCCCACCAUCCACGUGGUGACGCCCACCUACAGCCGCCCGGUGCAGAAGGCGGAGCUCACGCGCAUGGCCAACACGCUGCUGCACGUGCCCAACCUCCACUGGCUGGUGGUGGAGGAUGCGCCGCGCCGGACGCCGCUGACCGCGCGCCUGCUGCGCGACACCGGCCUCAACUACACGCACCUGCACGUGGAGACGCCCCGCAACUACAAGCUGCGCGGAGACGCCCGCGACCCACGCAUCCCGCGGGGCACCAUGCAGCGCAACCUGGCCCUGCGCUGGCUGCGCGAGACCUUCCCGCGCAACUCCAGCCAGCCUGGCGUGGUCUACUUCGCCGACGACGACAACACCUACAGCCUGGAGCUCUUCGAAGAGAUGCGCAGCACCAGGAGGGUGUCCGUGUGGCCCGUCGCCUUUGUGGGUGGCCUGCGGUACGAGGCCCCACGGGUGAACGGGGCAGGGAAGGUGGUCGGCUGGAAGACGGUGUUUGACCCCCACCGGCCAUUUGCAAUAGACAUGGCUGGAUUUGCCGUCAACCUGCGGCUCAUUCUGCAGCGAAGCCAGGCCUACUUCAAGCUGCGAGGUGUGAAGGGAGGCUACCAGGAAAGCAGCCUCCUUCGCGAACUUGUCACCCUCAAUGACCUGGAGCCCAAGGCAGCAAACUGCACCAAGAUCCUGGUGUGGCACACACGGACAGAGAAGCCAGUGCUGGUGAAUGAGGGCAAGAAGGGCUUCACUGACCCCUCGGUGGAGAUCUGAGCCUCAGGAUGCAGGAGCCUCCUCCUCAGACCCUGUUCUUGGCCUUCCAUCCUCUCCCCACAGCUGACGGUCCCUCCAAGGCCAACUCCUAAGGAAUCACCAUCACCCUCCUUUCUAUUCUGGGGGCUUCUGAGAGAGCCCAGCCUGAUGCCAGAACAAAGGACAGAGAAUUUAAGCACAGAAAUCCCAGACCUGUUGUUCUCUCCAUCCAGCGUGACCAGGGCCCGAGAGACCUGAUGGCCAGGGUGGGGUGUCCAGCACCAGCCAAGCCGGUGCUCCAGCGCGCCUCCCCAGAGCUGCCCGCUCUGAUGGGGCUGCAGGAGCAGGUGCAGUGGGCACCCACAUCGGCCCUGCAGUAAUGCAGGGCGGGAGGGAGAUAAGAAGACCCCACAGUCAAGUGGAGCAUGGCCCUCCCUGGCUCCCUGUCCCUGGGCUCAGCACAACCACACAGGACACCCAGCCAGGGAAUUCUGAAGACCAGAGAGCAGCCCACGGGCAUCACGAGCACUCUGCUCCUCUCCUGGGCCCCUGCUUUUCCCGAGAGCUGCCCCCAAAUCAGACAUACCUCUGUGGGUCUCCUCUGGUUCGUGUUUACAGAGCGUAAGGCUGUCUUUGAUCCCAACAGGCACCCAGCCCUGCAUGGGGGCAGCCUGGGCCUAAUAGGCACCCCCUGUACCUCAGGCUGUGGCGGGAACAUAGUCCCCUCCUCCGGCCCCUCUUCCUUUACCCCUUCUCCUCCAGCAAUGGCAAAGGGGUGGCCUCUAGAGCCAGCACAGGUCACUGCCUGACCUGGACUAAGAACCCCACCGUCCACACACUGCCUCCCCACCGCCCACGUCGGCUGCUAGGGCCCUAGCCUGGACUGGACUGGGGAGGGGAAGCGCCUUUUCCUGCAGCUCGUCAGAGCCACAGACCUCAGGGUGGAGUGAGCCCAUGGUGGGCAGUGGGCAAGGUGGGACCUCCUGCAGCCUGGAAAGAGGAGGGAGACCAAGGCCAUUCCCUCCCUCCUGUCCCUGGUCUGAGGAGGAGAGGCUCUGGAGUAGCAGAGGGGCUGGGGAAAAGGGGGCAGGGGCUGGUGGGACACUGAACAGGAGGGAGGCCUGAGCACACUGCUUUGGAAAUUAUUCUAAACACAAAAAAGGGAAAGAAAAUGUUACUUCUCCCUAAGUCAGGAGCAUGCAAAGCUAGCCCACCUCAUGUCCAGCUGUCCACUUUCCAUCCUGGAGAAAGAACAGUGUGCCUCAAACUACUGCCCUCCCCAGGCCUCCCGGGCCCACUAGAAAGGGCUCUGACUCCCUCUGGCCCGGCCGGGCUCUCUACUGGUGAUCUGGCUCGUUCUCCUGCAAGUUGGAAGCACAAUUUUCCCCCCAGGUGGAGGAAAAGGAAAGGGCCCCAGCCUACUGAAGAGGUGUUUAUUUUUUAACUAACAGCCUCCUACCCCGUUAAGACUCACCAGGACAGGCCUGAGGGCCAUUCAGAACCCACUCCUGAGUGGGUGGGCGGGUGGGACUCAGUCCAGAGACCUAACGUUCAGAAUAUAGCAUUGGUUGCCUAUUUUGAGAUGGAUUUAAUCUCCCACAGUAUUCAUGAGACCAUCUGAUGUAAUCAGAUCCCUGAGCCACCUUGCAGGACGUUUUCCCCAACCUCUUACACCCUGGAUGUCACUUUGGAAACCAAGCUCUUGGAAGCAAGUGGGGUGGCAUGGGAGAGAAGGGAGGAGGUGAGCACAGGUGGUGAACUUAUGUGUGGGUACUCUACUGCCUCACAGAAGCCAGCUGAGUGCCAAGGUCAGCUUGGCUGGUCUGAGGCCACCUUCUUAGCCAAAAACCCAGGGUUCAUUUUCAGGACAUUGAUAAUGAACAACAAAAUGGGGACUUCUUUGGGCAGAUGCUAGGUCAGUUGUUUUCACCUAAUAUCCUCUUUUAGCUGCAUGUAUAUUUAUUUAUAAUUGUAACCCUGGUGGACUGCAGCCUUCAUCUUUGUUGGGAAUGAGUUUGUUACAAAUCAGAAAUGGGUCCAUGAUGACGACUGUUUUCCAAACCCAGUCUGUUCCCUGCUCCCUCGCUGGCAAGCCCCACCACACAGGAGUGAGGCCAGGGGCUAGGAGUUCCAAGAACAGAGGCUGGGGUGAGGGUGGCACCCAGGCAGCUGCAUCUGGUCUGUUUUAAUUUAACUGUAUUUAAUUUGCUUUCAAAAUUAAAAGUCAAAUACAGUUUUUAACAGUCCUAA
RNAcentral lists this small RNA (6137 nucleotides) under Pongo abelii (Sumatran orangutan). Its description in RNAcentral is "retained intron". The record is from RNAcentral. Lineage: Eukaryota; Metazoa; Chordata; Mammalia; Primates; Hominidae.